This 468-nucleotide ribosomal RNA is filed under the name uncultured bacterium. RNAcentral's name for it is "partial 16S ribosomal RNA". It matches the Rfam family "Bacterial small subunit ribosomal RNA", at positions 28 to 507 of the family's 1533-position model. The record is from RNAcentral.
GACGAACGCUGGCGGCGUGCUUAACACAUGCAAGUCGAACGGAAAGGCCCUGCUUUUGUGGGGUGCUCGAGUGGCGAACGGGUGAGUAACACGUGAGUAACCUGCCCUUGACUUUGGGAUAACUUCAGGAAACUGGGGCUAUUACCGGAUAGGAGCUCCUGCUGCAUGGUGGGGGUGGGAAAGUUUCGGCGGUUGGGGAUGGACUCGCGGCUUAUCAGCUUGUUGGUGGGGUAGUGGCUUACCAAGGCUUUGACGGGUAGCCGGCCUGAGAGGGUGACCGGCCACAUUGGGACUGAGAUACGGCCCAGACUCCUACGGGAGGCAGCAGUGGGGAAUAUUGCACAAUGGGCGGAAGCCUGAUGCAGCAACGCCGCGUGCGGGAUGACGGCCUUCGGGUUGUAAACCGCUUUCGCCUGUGACGAAGCGUGAGUGACGGUAAUGGGUAAAGAAGCACCGGCUAACUACGUG